RNAcentral lists this ribosomal RNA (494 nucleotides) under uncultured bacterium. Its description in RNAcentral is "partial 16S ribosomal RNA". It matches the Rfam family "Bacterial small subunit ribosomal RNA", at positions 31 to 507 of the family's 1533-position model. The record is from RNAcentral.
GAACGCUGGCGGCGUGCCUAAUACAUGCCAGUCGAGCGAACGGACGAGAAGCUUGCUUCUCUGAUGUUAGCGGCGGACGGGUGAGUAACACGUGGAUAACCUACCUAUAAGACUGGGAUAACUUCGGGAAACCGGAGCUAAUACCGGAUAAUAUUUUGAACCGCAUGGUUCAAAAGUGAAAGACGGUCUUGCUGUCACUUAUAGAUGGAUCCGCGCUGCAUUAGCUAGUUGGUAAGGUAACGGCUUACCAAGGCAACGAUGCAUAGCCGACCUGAGAGGGUGAUCGGCCACACUGGAACUGAGACACGGUCCAGACUCCUACGGGAGGCAGCAGUAGGGAAUCUUCCGCAAUGGGCGAAAGCCUGACGGAGCAACGCCGCGUGAGUGAUGAAGGUCUUCGGAUCGUAAAACUCUGUUAUUAGGGAAGAACAUAUGUGUAAGUAACUGUGCACAUCUUGACGGUACCUAAUCAGAAAGCCACGGCUAACUACGUG